CUGAGCUGGAAGUGGAUGGGGCCAGCUGGGUCUGCACCCAAUGCCUAUCAGCCCCGACAGUGCAGGGGCCUGGAGAAACUGCAAAUGGAAGGGCCUCUGAGCCUUGGUGCCAGGCGGGUCAGGCUCUGCCCUCACACCAGCACCUCCUCUCUUCCAGUCGCCGUCACGGCCCCAUCAGUUUACCCUCUGGCUCCCAGCUGCAAGGAGAAGCUUGAUUCCACAGUGGCCCUGGGAUGCCUGGUCACAGGCUACUUCCCUGAGCCCGUGUCAGUGCAGUGGAACUCGGGGGCCUUGACCAGUGGCGUGCGAACCUUCCCGAGUGUCCUGCUUUCCUCGGGCUUCUACUCCAGCAGCAGCCUCGUGGCUGUGCCCAGUAGCACUGUGAAAAGCAAGACCUACACCUGCAACGUACACCACCCGGCCAGCAGCACCAAGGUGGACAAGAUUGUGAAACUACCGACCCCUCAAAAAACUCCCCAAACUUGCCCAGUCCCUGGAGGACCAUCAGUUUUCAUCUUCCCACCGAAGCCCAAGGACACCCUCAUGAUCUCCCGCACCCCUGAGGUCACGUGCCUCGUUGUGGACGUGAGCCAGGAGGAACCCGAGGUGACAUUCAACUGGUACGUGGAUGGCGUGGAGGUGCACACAGCCAAGACAGGGCAGCGGCAGGAGCAAUUCAACAGCACCUACCGCGUGGUCAGCGUGCUGCCCAUCAAGCACCAGGACUGGCUACAGGGGAAAGUCUUCAAGUGCAAGGUCAACAACAAAGCCCUCCCGUCCCCCGUAGAGCAGAGCAUCUCCAAAGCCCCGGGGCAGCCCCGGGAGCCGCAGGUGUACACAUUUGGCCCACAUCCAGAGUCGCUGUCCAAACAAGUACUCAGCCUCACCUGCAUGAUCACGAACUUCUAUCCAAACGAAAUUGAUGUCUCAUGGCAGAGCAAUGGGAAGCCAAUGCCCGAGAGCAGCUUUGUGUCCACCCCGCCCCAGGAAGAGCAGGACGGAACCUUCUUCCUCUACAGCAAGUUAAACAUAGACCGCAGCAAGUGGCCAGGAAGCAGUGUGUACUCCUGUGUCGUGAUGCACGAGGCCCUGCACAACCACUACACACAGAAGACCGUCUCCAAGUCUCCCGGUAAAUGAGUGUGACCAGUGAGCAUCCCUCCCCAGCCCCCCUGUAAAUACCUCCCAGGCACCCCAGCAUGGAAAUAAAGCACCCAGCACUGCCCUGGGAUUCUGCGAGA
Non-coding RNA from Choloepus didactylus (southern two-toed sloth), 1241 nucleotides. NCBI's taxonomy places the organism in Eukaryota, Metazoa, Chordata, Mammalia, Pilosa, Megalonychidae. The record is from the annotation of a RefSeq genome assembly.